GACGAACGCUGGCGGCGUGCUUAACACAUGCAGGUCGAACGGAAAGGCCCUGCUUUUGUGGGGUGCUCGAGUGGCGAACGGGUGAGUAACACGUGAGUAACCUGCCCUUGACCUUGGGAUAACUUCAGGAAACUGGGGCUAAUACCGGAUAGGAGCUCCUGCUGCAUGGUGGGGGUUGGAAAGUUUCGGCGGUUGGGGAUGGACUCGCGGCUUAUCAGCUUGUUGGUGGGGUAGUGGCUUACCAAGGCUUUGACGGGUAGCCGGCCUGAGAGGGUGACCAGCCACAUUGGGACUGAGAUACGGCCCAGACUCCUACGGGAGGCAGCAGUGGGGAAUAUUGCACAAUGGGCGGAAGCCUGAUGCAGCAACGCCGCGUGCGGGAUGACGGCCUUCGGGUUGUAAACCGCUUUCGCCUGUGACGAAGCGUGAGUGACGGUAAUGGGUAAAGAAGCACCGGCUAACUACGUG
Molecule: ribosomal RNA, 468 nt
Filed under: uncultured bacterium
Lineage: Bacteria
Description: partial 16S ribosomal RNA
Rfam family: Bacterial small subunit ribosomal RNA
Source: RNAcentral